ACCUUUUCCGGCCUCUGCAGUAGCGCGGGCGGCGCAGUAGCUGGGGACGCGCGGGCCUGGGCCGAGCCUUGCAGGCUGCAGAACAGUUUGGAAAAGCGCUUUUCUGGAUAAUAGUCCAGGCCCUCAUGUUCUCAUCAGAUAAAUGACGGGCCACAGAGCUAGGUGAGAUCCGGACUGGAGGCCCUGCUCGGGAAACUGAUGCCGAGCUCGCUUUCCGCAGCGCAGCAAGGAACCAAAGCCUCUUGCCAACAGCCAUGAGUGUGCACCAUCUUGUGAACAUAUCCUCCAACCCCAGUCAAGUCUCCCAAUGGCUACAGCCCUGCCCGAGAUCUUGACUGCAAUAUCCAGAACCGUAUCUGCCCAGGAUCUGCUUCUGGGACAUCCAGACGACGAGGGUAAGAAAGGAGGAUCCGCUAAAGAAGUUUCAACGGUGAAGGAGAGGUUCCCAUGAGGCAGAGCCAGGGGCCUUGGCUAACUUACAACAUCAGCAGGAUGGCUGGAAUGAUCAGGCCUGGAUUGGCGAUGAACGCAAAGAUCUUGCCCAGGAAGGUUGGAAAAUCAUUUUCAACGGUCUCUUGGAUGACGUCAUACAUUCUGUUUUUCCCACUGGGAAGAAGAGGACACAUUACAGCAUGCUGCAAAACUCACAGGGCACACAACUGUGUGCACGCCCUUCCCAAAGCUGCCGCUCACUACUGAGCCGGAAGAACCACAGAUCUGCCCCUAAUGGACUGCAAAUAAAAAUGCCCCCUAAGGGGCUGCCCUUUUGUCUCAGGAUAAUAGCCAGGUCAGUGCGCUCACAACUUCUCAAACUACAUUGGCCUCCUGCGUCUGACAUCUUAUGGGCUUUCCCCUAUACUCUCAUGGGAGAACAUUGCCUGUAAUAUAGCUAUGGGACUGACCCAGCUUCCCAUGCAUGGGAAUAGUUCUCUAAAGGCUGACGUGAUGGAUGAUCUCAUGGUGCCUUUUGAUUUUUUACUAUCAAGCUCUUUACAGAAAAGCUUAGCUGAUCCCUGGUGUAGAUAAUACUUCUUACCUCAUAGCAUUGUAAUGAGUGCCAGCUACCCCCAACUUGGGCAGGGCUCAGGCUUAACAAACUUGCUCAUAUGCCUUACUGUGGACUUGCACACUCCUCUAAGUACUUUACAAAUAAUAACACACUAAGUCCUCAAAAAAACCCUAUGAGGUAGGCCCUACUGUUAUUUCCAUCUUAUAGGCAUGAACCUGUGGUGUAGGGAGCUAAGAAACUUGCUCAAGAUGACCCAGCUGGCAAGUGGCAGAGCUGGUUCUAGAAUCUAUGCUCUAAAUCAAAGGGCUGGCAAUUCUUUUCUGAAAAGAGAGAGAUAAUAAAGAUUUUAGGUUUUAUGAGCCAGAAGGUCUCUGUUGGCGUUACUCACUUCUGCUGUGGUAUCGAGAAAGCAGCCGUAGAGUAUAUGUAAGCAAACAGGUGUGGCCGUGUUCCAAUAAAACUGUUUAUAAAAGCAGGUUGGUGGUCUGGGUUUGGUCCAUGGGCUACAGUUUACCAACCCCUAUUUUUAACUAUAUGCCGUGCAACGCUGCCCAUUUCAUUUAUUUAUAUUGCUUGUCUGGAUCUGAUCUAAACCCCGAGUCCCUCCAAGUAAAAGUGAAUUUCUGUGAAGUGAAGGAUCUAGUUUAAGCAUUGACUCAGUGUUCUUUUCUAGACAGUGGGUAUAAAGCAGUGAAAAAGGAAGCAAAAAUCACACCCUCAUGGAGCUUAUGUCCUGGUGGAGGAGACAGACAACAAACAAGAUAAAUAGGCAGAAGGAAUGGCAGGUAGACGUUAGUAAGGAGAUAGAAUAAGCAGAAACAAUGGUGUGUGUGUGUGUGUGGCAUUUUCCUUAGGGUCUCCAGAGAAGGCCUCACUGAAAAGGUGACCUUUGAAUAAAGACCUGAAGCAAGUGAGAGGAAGCAUUGAAAAUAUCUAC
Long non-coding RNA from Myotis davidii, 1946 nucleotides. RefSeq lists it as uncharacterized. The transcript has 3 exons. NCBI's taxonomy places the organism in Eukaryota, Metazoa, Chordata, Mammalia, Chiroptera, Vespertilionidae. The record is from RefSeq and is a predicted model, not a curated record.